CCAGGUUGGAAGAUCUGAGAGGGGAGACUGUGGAUAAAACAGUACAGAGUCACUUCUCUGGGGACCUGAGGCUUGGCUUCCGCACUCUGGUUGGCUCCAUCCGAAGUAUUCCUUUGUUCCUGGCCCAGCGUCUACACAGCAACAUUAAGAAAGGCAGUUUGGUGCAGGGGAUUCUUAUCAGCCACAGUGAAGAGGACCUCCUCUGUGUGAGAAUCGAGUAUCGCAGACUGACCAACACUUCACUCUACUCUACA
This is a long non-coding RNA of Salvelinus namaycush (lake trout), 254 nucleotides long. RefSeq lists it as uncharacterized. The transcript is spliced from 3 exons. The record is from RefSeq and is a predicted model, not a curated record. Lineage: Eukaryota; Metazoa; Chordata; Actinopteri; Salmoniformes; Salmonidae.